UACGGGGGGGGCAAGCGUUGUUCGGAAUUACUGGGCGUAAAGGGUUCGUAGGUGGCCAACUAAGUCAUACGUGAAAUCCCUCAGCUUAACUGGGGAACUGCGUCUGAUACUGGUUGGCUUGAGUGCAGGAGAGGAACGCGGAAUUCCAGGUGUAGCGGUGAAAUGCGUAGAUAUCUGGAGGAACACCGGUGGCGAAGGCGGAUCUCUGGGCCAUUACUGACGCUGAGGAGCGAAAGCGUGGGGAGCGAACAGG
RNAcentral lists this ribosomal RNA (253 nucleotides) under uncultured bacterium. Its description in RNAcentral is "partial 16S ribosomal RNA". It matches the Rfam family "Bacterial small subunit ribosomal RNA", at positions 524 to 776 of the family's 1533-position model. The record is from RNAcentral.